CUACGGGGCGCACCAGUGGGGAAUAUUGCACAAUGGGCGCAAGCCUGAUGCAGCCAUGCCGCGUGUAUGAAGAAGGCCUUCGGGUUGUAAAGUACUUUCAGCGGGGAGGAAGGGAGUAAAGUUAAUACCUUUGCUCAUUGACGUUACCCGCAGAAGAAGCACCGGCUAACUCCGUGCCAGCGAGCCGCGGUAAUACGGAGGGUGCAAGCGUUAAUCGGAAUUACUGGGCGUAAAGCGCACGCAGGCGGUUUGUUAAGUCAGAUGUGAAAUCCCCGGGCUCAACCUGGGAACUGCAUCUGAUACUGGCGAGCUUGAGUCUCGUAGAGGGGGGUAGAAUUCCAGGUGUAGCGGUGAAAUGCGUAGAGAUCUGGAGGAAUACCGGUGGCGAAGGCGGCCCCCUGGACGAAGACUGACGCUCAGGUGCGAAAGCGUGGGGAGCAAACAGGAUUAGAUACCCUUGUAGUC
RNAcentral lists this ribosomal RNA (465 nucleotides) under uncultured bacterium. RNAcentral describes it as "partial 16S ribosomal RNA". It matches the Rfam family "Bacterial small subunit ribosomal RNA", at positions 339 to 795 of the family's 1533-position model. The record is from RNAcentral.